AACGCACGUUUAAAUCGGGGUUGGGUUUCGUUAUUCCCCGUGACCUAACAGAAGAAAACAUUAAUCGUUGUGCUGCACAACGCAAACUCUGAGUCCUUGUACGUAAGUUACUCUAUGUUACUUUAGCGAUAGUUCUAGUCGAGGGGUUUGGGCAUUAUUCCUCCAUAACACCAGGGCUAGAGCCUGAUAACUCAUAACAGUUGAACUUCAAGCCCAACUCAGCAUCUUGCCAGCCUUCUGUAAGCUGAAAUCACCCUCAAAUUUCAUCAAAUAAUAAAUGUCAAGUAAUCUCAACGACCAUGCAACCUGUUCAGUCUGAGUCUCCAUGGACAUUUAUAUGUUUAGCAAGCUUGACAGACAGACUGCUUUAUCGACGGACAUUGGGGCCAGCAUACUAGGGGAGCAAAGUUAAAGUUCAGGUCAGGUUGGAGAGGUCUGUCUUGUUGCGCACCACAUCAAGGCCCACAUCGGAGGAGACUGCAGUGGUUCUGCUAAGGUUCAACGAAAAUGCUCUCUGUUUGGAUAUCCCUCCUUCUCUUCUGUCCAGCCAUCGUGAGGACAGGAAAUGUGCUGGUUGUCCCAGUCGAGGGGAGUCACUGGGUGAACAUGAAAAUCAUUGUUGAAGAGCUUCAUUCAAGGGGCCACACUAUCUCAGUGGUGCAAACAAUAGACAGCUGGUAUAUCAAGGAACACUCCCCCUUCUAUACUGCUAUUACCGUCAAAUCUGAGAGUGGCUUUGAUGAGGGCUUCAUCACUGAGUUAAUUGCGAAGCUUCUGGAGAUCCAGAGGAACGGAAGGUCUCCCUGGGCACGUUUCAAGCUGGAGAUGGAGCAAAUGGAGGCAGCCUCUGUGAUGCACAUAAAGGGCGCCCAAUUGGUUGAGCAUAUGUUUGAGGACAAGCAGUUGAUGCAGUCUCUAAAGGAUGCCAAAUUCGACAUGGUUCUGACAGAUCCCGUCAUACUAGCUGGUGUCAUGCUUGCCCGCCACUUAGAUCUGCCUUUAGUUUUCAAUGUGAGAUGGACGACUCACGGCGAAGGCCAUUUUUCAAUCGCUCCUUCUCCUCUUUCUUACGUUCCAGUGCCAGGGCUAGAGCUAUCCGAUAAGAUGAGCUUCAGCGAAAGAGUUUUGAAUGUAUGUGUUUACUGCUUCACAAAAUUUCAUUUAUCCCAGUAUGUCGUUCCACACUAUGAGGGGCUGAUGCAAAAAUACUUCAGCCAAGAUUCCUUUAUGAGCCUGUUUCAAAGAGCUGAUCUGUGGCUCAUGAGAAUAGAUUUUGUGUUUGAGUUCCCUCGGCCCACCAUGCCUAACAUUAAGUACAUGGGAGGGUUUCAAUGUAAACCUGCUCAGCCUCUGCCUCCACACCUGGAGGACUUUGUCCAGAGUUCAGGAGAGCACGGAGUCAUCGUCAUGUCUCUGGGGACGCUCAUCGCAAGUCUUCCCCAAGAAAUAUCAGAGGAAAUUGCCGCCGCUUUUGCAAAACUACCUCAGAAAGUCAUCUGGAGACAUAAAGGUGAACGGCCAGCAUCCUUAGGCAACAACACAUUACUUGUCGGUUGGAUGCCACAGAAUGACCUUUUAGGACACGAAAAAACAAAACUGUUUGUGGCGCACGGAGGAACAAACGGAGUACAAGAGGCCAUCUACCACGGAGUGCCCAUCCUCGGACUCCCACUGAUCUUUGACCAACACGACAAUCUCUUCAAAAUUAAAUUCAGAGGAGGCAGCAAAAUCCUAAAUAUAUUCACUAUUGACAGGGAGAGCUUCCGACAAGGUAUCGAGGAACUCCUCAAUGAGCCCUCAUACAGGACCAACAUGGAGCAACUCUCUAGACUCAGUAGGGACCUGCCAAUGAAGCCUUUAGACUACGCCAUCUUCUGGAUAGAGUAUGUUAUACGAAACAAGGGUGCUGGUCACCUGAGGUCAGAGUCCUACAACAUGCCUUGGUACUCCUACUACUCUGUAGAUGUGAUCCUUCUCUUAUUAGGACUGCUGCUGAUUAUGAUCCUGACCUUUGUUGUGUUAGUCAAGAACCUGUGCUCCUGUGUCUGUCGCAGAAUAAAACGCAAACGGGACUAAUAAUAUCUUUAUAUAUAUUUGCAUAUAAGUAUUAAAUCUAUUUUCAUUCUGAACAUUUGUGUAAGAUAUAUAGUAAAUCUUGUGUAAACCCAUAAAGGCGCUAAUCAUGCAGAUAAAGUUAAUCAUUUUAGGUCAAGGUUAUCACCUUGAUGUGGCUUACAUAUUAACAUUUUGUUUCUUUUGUUCCUCGUGCUGUCAUUGUGGUUUUUUGGUCCUGCGUGUUCUAUGUGGUUACCUGUGUUCCCUUGCUCCUUGCUCCUUGCUCCUUGCCUUAGCCUUUUGGCGGAAAUAAAGUACAGUUUUCCCUAAACCGUC
Gadus morhua (Atlantic cod) is the source of this 2391-nucleotide RNA transcript. It is a transcript of the gene named UDP-glucuronosyltransferase 2A1 pseudogene, with no coding region annotated. The transcript is spliced from 4 exons. Lineage: Eukaryota; Metazoa; Chordata; Actinopteri; Gadiformes; Gadidae. The record is from RefSeq and is a predicted model, not a curated record.